UUACAUAUUUAAAUUUAAUUCCAAAACUUGAACAUAAUAUUUAACAUUAAGAAUCUUUAAAACUUUGUAAAAUUAUACACGGCCCCAUUUAAAGCAUAUACGGCUAACUCAAUUUGAUAAAAAUCAAAAUAGAUCACGCACGUCAUUGUUAUCCAAAUAACAAUAAGUUAAUCAGACAAUAAAUUUAUCAGACAUACACAGGCUGCUGGUUGAUAAGCGAUAGGCAAUUGUAUUAACCAUAAUGGCUAAUUAAACACGGCACGCUCGUGACACGUGUCACGCGCAAGUGACAGUUCGCGGCAAAUUAUCGUCUGCGUUCUCGCGGAAGCGACAGAUUCGUGAAGAAAAGCAGCGUCAGAUCGGGAAGACAGGAUGAAGAUGAAGAGUCGACGUGAAUGGAAUAUUUUGGGACACGACACGUAUAACAAGUAUUGUGACUGUUGAUCUGCGCUGAGGAUCCGUUGCAAAUUUGCGAUCGCUGCAUGUAGAUCUUCGAACAAAAAAAGCUUGUGCAAGGAUGACCCGGAAUUUAUUUAAAUAAUGAAAAAAGCAGGCAAUCGUAAUAUAAUCAAAAGGUUGAGAAACACUGAUGCAAAUGCUCAAUUUAUUAGUACACCAGACACCAGCGAUCUGUCACAGUGGUAAUAUUUCAUAAUGUGUCAGACAAUGCUCCAUUAUCUUACUACACGACGAGGUUUAGUUCUGUUAGAUAGAACAACUGAACGAUUUGUGAUAUUUUUGAUAGUAAUCAAAUUAUUAUCAAUAGUAGAAUAGUAUAUUAUGGAAGUUACAUAAUUAUAGGUACAUAUUGUAUAAAUAUCAGUUAAAUUAUCCUUUUUACAUUAUUCUUUUUC
Nylanderia fulva is the source of this 854-nucleotide long non-coding RNA. RefSeq lists it as uncharacterized. NCBI's taxonomy places the organism in Eukaryota, Metazoa, Arthropoda, Insecta, Hymenoptera, Formicidae. The record is from RefSeq and is a predicted model, not a curated record.